Molecule: long non-coding RNA, 223 nt
Filed under: Homo sapiens (human)
Lineage: Eukaryota; Metazoa; Chordata; Mammalia; Primates; Hominidae
Description: HSALNT0159470
Source: RNAcentral
GGACACAGUCUCCUGGAUCGUCAAUGCUGAUGAAGUAGAAGUUGAUGGUGACAAGCCUUCCAGCAGGAGCAACAAGGACCCACUCGCAGUACGUGUUGUUUGGGAAGAAUGGGGCCACCUAGAGCAGUGGGCAUCUCUGGGACAUCAGAGGAUCUUGAAAGGGGAGGUGAAGGCAUGAAAACAGAUUCCAAGCAUGGUCUAGAGCUCGGCCCUCGCUUGGUAG